GACGAACGCUGGCGGCGUGCUUAACACAUGCAAGUCGAACGGAAAGGCCUGCUUUCCCUUGUGGAUUGCGGGUACUCGAGUGGCGAACGGGUGAGUAACACGUGAGUGAUCUGCCCCCAACUUGGGUAUAAGCCUGGGAAACUGGGUCUAAUUCCCGAUAGGACUGCAGGGUGGUGCCUGUGGUGGAAAACGAUUUUCUAGUGGUUGGGGAUGAGCUCGCGGCCUAUCAGCUUGUUGGUGGGGUAAUGGCCUACCAAGGCGGCGACGGGUAGCCGGCCUGAGAGGGUGGGCGGCCACAUUGGGACUGAGAUACGGCCCAGACUCCUACGGGAGGCAGCAGUGGGGAAUAUUGCACAAUGGGCGGAAGCCUGAUGCAGCGACGCCGCGUGGGGGAUGACGGCCUUCGGGUUGUAAACUCCUUUCGACCGCGAGGAAGCCACCUGGUUGGAAGGGUGGUGACGGUAGUGGUAGAAGAAGCACCGGCUAACUACGUG
RNAcentral lists this ribosomal RNA (494 nucleotides) under uncultured bacterium. RNAcentral describes it as "partial 16S ribosomal RNA". It matches the Rfam family "Bacterial small subunit ribosomal RNA", at positions 28 to 507 of the family's 1533-position model. The record is from RNAcentral.